UCCCUUUGAAAGAUCCGCUCACUCACGUGCGCGUGCAUGUGCGCAUACACGUGCGUUAGCGUGUGUGUGAAUCGAUGAGAUACGCGCUUGAUUGGGUCUCCCUUGUUGUAAUAAUGUACAUGAGGAGGAGGAGGAGGAGGAGGAGGCACGGCGCGGCUCUGCCGGAGGAACCGAGCUCCAAACUCUUUCUCGGCCACUUUUCGUCCUCCUCUUUCUUUCCUUCUUUCUUUCCUCGCGCAGAUCUUUAAAUCAGACGCGUCUCCCCACGCGCUUUUUUAUUCUUCCUGCGCGCAGAAGCGCAAAAAUCAAGAUGUUUCUCGCGCUGCUGCUGCUGCUGGUGGAAUAAAAUCAAAGUUCUCGUGGUUUGUCCUCCUCAGAAGAGAUGAACAGAUCCUCAGAGAGAAGGAGGAGGAUAAGAAGAAGACAUGGAGGCUGAGGUUGAUGCAGAGAUUUGCAAAAGAUCACUGGUUCACAAUCUGCUGCAUUUGACCUCGGCCGGAACCAAUAAAGUGCUGCGGUAUGAGAACAAACACACACACACACGCACAAACACGCAGGAUUCAUUAAAACAGACUAAACAAAGCAUACGAUUCAAUUUCUUUGAAAUAAACUAAUAAAUCAGAUUCUAUAAAUGAUGCAACAUAUUUUUUGAGGAAACGAGAGUCAAACAGCAGAAUUCACUAUAUGUAUUAUCAUUUAAGAUGUUUUUUCAUAAUUCUUAGUGUUUUAUAAUAGUUCAAAAACACAAACA
This is a long non-coding RNA of Solea solea (common sole), 751 nucleotides long. RefSeq lists it as uncharacterized. Lineage: Eukaryota; Metazoa; Chordata; Actinopteri; Pleuronectiformes; Soleidae. The record is from RefSeq and is a predicted model, not a curated record. The transcript has 3 exons.